This 359-nucleotide long non-coding RNA is filed under the name Nicotiana tabacum (common tobacco). RNAcentral's name for it is "long non-coding RNA (NTAB_LNC010075)". Lineage: Eukaryota; Viridiplantae; Streptophyta; Magnoliopsida; Solanales; Solanaceae. The record is from RNAcentral.
AGAUUGUGCUUGGUUUUUGGUUCUCUGAAUCUUUUUGGUUAAUUAGAACUUCUAAAAAUUCCAAAAUCGUGCAUCUAGAUUGGAAAAUGGCUUGAGUUUGAGGUUAAAAGUUUGGUUUGAGUUGCUGUUUCGGCAUUGUUCUAUUCCUGAUUUUAAGCUGAUUUUACUGCUUCUUGUUUCCCUUCCUGAAUCUGAACUUAUUUUUUUCUGUUGUUUGUUGCUGUAACCAGGUAUUUUUCUAGCCUUCAUUUGGCAUGAUGAAAUGAAAGAUCUGCUGAUGUUGUUUAAGUUGAGAGUUUAUGGCAUACAUGUUCAUCAAAUGCUAUUUUUUUGUUUUCUUUUGAACCCAUUUAAUUCGG